This is a long non-coding RNA of Centrocercus urophasianus (Greater sage-grouse), 726 nucleotides long. RefSeq lists it as uncharacterized. The transcript is spliced from 3 exons. The record is from RefSeq and is a predicted model, not a curated record. Lineage: Eukaryota; Metazoa; Chordata; Aves; Galliformes; Phasianidae.
GGUCAGAACGGGCAGGGGACGGGGGACGGGCUGGCUGUGCUGCUGGCAGAGUCGAGGGACCUCGCUCCAAGAGACGAAGUUUAAGGAAGACGAACAAGACAGAGAAGCAGAGGCCACUCGGGUCAGUGGUCAGACACCACAGAGACCCCAUUCAGGACAUCUCAGCAAGAUCUGGAAGCAAUCUGAAGCUGGGCCAUCCCUGCCCCACCUGGCUACUGUCCCACAGAGAUGGAGUCGUUCUGCCCAUGUCCACACAUCCAGCCGACACCAGCACUGCAGCUCUGGGGCACAGAGUCACUCAUGCCAGCACCCACUGAGUUCUGACAAGCCACAUUUGUUUCCAGGCAGAGCCUCCAACUUCUGGCCGUAGUCCUGGAGGAGAGGGGGGGCAGAAGGAGCCAUGAGGCUGGGAUUGCUGUCCAGGGCCCCUACUGGUGACACAGGAGAACGUCCCAUCUCAUCACUUUGCAGACAACGACAUCCUUGCACAAAUCAUCCCAUCCGUGCUCAGUGUCAUGGCAGCCCCUCAGCCACCAGGUGUCAGUGCGAUCAAACGUUUGGCAGAUGGGACCACAGCAAAGUCCUGGGAGGUGGAAAACACUUUUCCUGGAAUUACUCUGUCUUCUGUCUGCUCUGGAGCCUGGUGCACCCCUCUGAGAAGACCGGCUUUGACAGUCUUUGUUAAAAACAAGUUUAACUACAUUAAAUUGAUAGAAAAGUUUCCCA